RNAcentral lists this ribosomal RNA (420 nucleotides) under uncultured bacterium. RNAcentral's name for it is "bacterial SSU rRNA". It matches the Rfam family "Bacterial small subunit ribosomal RNA", at positions 355 to 774 of the family's 1533-position model. The record is from RNAcentral.
UAAGGAAUAUUGCUCAAUGGGAGAAAUCCUGAAGCAGCAACGCCGCGUGGAGGAUGAAGGGUCUAUGACUUGUAAACUCCUGUAAAGAAGGAAAAAAUUCCCAUUUGAUGGGAGAUGAUGGUACUUCUGGAGUAAGCCCCGGCUAACUACGUGCCAGCAGCCGCGGUAAUACGUAGGGGGCAAGCGUUGUCCGGAUUUACUGGGUGUAAAGGGUGCUCAGGCGGAUUUGUAAGUCAGAGGUGAAAUCUUACAGCUUAACUGUGAAACUGCCUUUGAUACUGCAAGCCUAGAGUAUGGAAGAGAGUGAUGGAAUAUCUGGUGUAGCAGUGAAAUGCGUAGAUAUCAGAUAGAACACCAAUGUCGAAGGCAGUCACUUGGUCCAUUACUGACGCUAAAGCACGAAAGCGUGGGUAGCAAACA